GUAAGGAAUAUUGGUCAAUGGACGGAAGUCUGAACCAGCCAUGCCGCGUGCAGGAUGACUGCCCUAUGGGUUGUAAACUGCUUUUGUCGAGGAAUAAACCUAUCUACGUGUAGAUAGCUGAAUGUACUCGAAGAAUAAGGAUCGGCUAACUCCGUGCCAGCAGCCGCGGUAAUACGGAGGAUCCGAGCGUUAUCCGGAUUUAUUGGGUUUAAAGGGUGCGUAGGCGGCACUUUAAGUCAGGGGUGAAAGACGGCAGCUUAACUGUCGCAGUGCCUUUGAUACUGAAGUGCUUGAAUGCGGUUGAAGACGGCGGAAUGAGACAAGUAGCGGUGAAAUGCAUAGAUAUGUCUCAGAACACCGAUUGCGAAGGCAGCUGUCUAAGCCGUUAUUGACGCUGAUGCACGAAAGCGUGGGGAUCGAACAGGAUUAGAAACCCUAGUAGUCC
This 445-nucleotide ribosomal RNA is filed under the name uncultured bacterium. Its description in RNAcentral is "bacterial SSU rRNA". It matches the Rfam family "Bacterial small subunit ribosomal RNA", at positions 354 to 796 of the family's 1533-position model. RNAcentral also lists the same sequence under 1 other name. The record is from RNAcentral.